GGGCGUUAAAGGGUGCGUUAGGCGGCGGGGUUAAGUUCCAGGUGUUGAAAUUCUCGGGGCUCAACUUCCGAAACUGCACUUGAUACUGCCUUGCUAGAGUAUUGGAGAGGAGAUUGGAAUUUACGGUGUAGCAGUGAAAUGCGUAGAUAUCGUAAGGAAGACCAGUGGCGAAGGCGAAUCUCUGGACAAUUACUGACGCUGAGGCACGAAGGCCAGGGGAGCAAACGGGAUUAGAUACCCCGGUAGUCCUGGCAGUAAACGGUGCAUGUUUGGUGUGGGAGGAUUCGACCCCUUCUGUGCCGGAGCUAACGCGUUAAACAUGCCGCCUGGGGAGUACGGUCGCAAGAUUAAAACUCAAAGAAAUUUGACGGGGGCCCGCACAAGCGGUGGAGUAUGUGGCUUAAUUCGAUGCAACGCGAAGAAACUUUACCUGGCCUUUGACAUGCAUCUCUAAGUCGGUGAAAGCCCGGCGAGUGUAGCAAUACACAAUUUUGCACAGGUGCUGCAUGGCUUGUCGUCAGCUCCGUGUCGUGAGAUGUUGGGUUAAGUCCCGCAACGAGCGCAACCCCCUGUGAACUGUUGCCCACCGGCCCUUCGGGCCGAGCACUCUGUUCAGACUGCCCUGUGAAACGGGGAGGUAGGUGGGGGAUGACGUCAAGUCAGCAUGGCUCCUUACGGCCAGGGCUGCACACGUACUACAAAUGCUCCAGUACAGAAUGAAUCGAAACUCGCGAGGUGGAGGAGAUCCUCUAAAACUGGGCUCAAUUCGGAUUGGAGGCUGCAACUCGUCUCCCAUGAAGCUGGAAUCGCUAGUAAUGCCGUAUCAGCUAACGACGCGUGAAUACGUUCUCCGGGCCUUGUACUCACC
Molecule: ribosomal RNA, 868 nt
Filed under: uncultured bacterium
Lineage: Bacteria
Description: bacterial SSU rRNA
Rfam family: Bacterial small subunit ribosomal RNA
Source: RNAcentral